Molecule: ribosomal RNA, 460 nt
Filed under: uncultured bacterium
Lineage: Bacteria
Description: partial 16S ribosomal RNA
Rfam family: Bacterial small subunit ribosomal RNA
Source: RNAcentral
CCUACGGGAGGCAGCAGUGAGGAAUAUUGGUCAAUGGACGAGAGUCUGAACCAGCCAAGUAGCGUGAAGGAUGACUGCCCUAUGGGUUGUAAACUUCUUUUAUAUGGGAAUAAAACAGGGUAUGCAUACCCUUUUGUAUGUACCAUAUGAAUAAGGAUCGGCUAACUCCGUGCCAGCAGCCGCGGUAAUACGGAGGAUCCGAGCGUUAUCCGGAUUUAUUGGGUGUAAAGGGAGCGUAGGUGGAUUGUUAAGUCAGUAGUGAAAGUUUGCGGCUCAACCGUAAAAUUGCAGUUGAAACUGGCUGUCUUGAGUACAGUAGAGGUGGGCGGAAUUCGUGGUGUAGCGGUGAAAUGCUUAGAUAUCACGAAGAACUCCAGUUGCGAAGGCAGCUCACUGGACUGCAACUGACACUGAUGCUCGAAAGUGUGGGUAUCAAACAGGAUUAGAUACCCCUGUAGUC